This 490-nucleotide ribosomal RNA is filed under the name uncultured bacterium. RNAcentral's name for it is "partial 16S ribosomal RNA". It matches the Rfam family "Bacterial small subunit ribosomal RNA", at positions 30 to 507 of the family's 1533-position model. The record is from RNAcentral.
AUUGAACGCUGGCGGCAGGCCUAACACAUGCAAGUCGAACGGUAACAGGAAGAAGCUUGCUUCUUUGCUGACGAGUGGCGGACGGGUGAGUAAUGUCUGGGAAACUGCCUGAUGGAGGGGGAUAACUACUGGAAACGGUAGCUAUUACCGCUUAACGUCGCAAGCCCAAAGAGGGGGACCUUCGGGCCUCUUGCCUUCGGUUGUGCCCAGAUGGGAUUAGCUAGUAGGUGGGGUAACGGCUCACCUAGGCGACGAUCCCUAGCUGGUCUGAGAGGAUGACCAGCCACACUGGAACUGAGACACGGUCCAGACUCCUACGGGAGGCAGCAGUGGGGAAUAUUGCACAAUGGGCGCAAGCCUGAUGCAGCCAUGCCGCGUGUAUGAAGAAGGCCUUCGGGUUGUAAAGUACUUUCAGCGGGGAGGAAGGGAGUAAAGUUAAUACCUUUGCUCAUUGACGUUACCCGCAGAAGAAGCACCGGCUAACUCCGUG